This 484-nucleotide ribosomal RNA is filed under the name uncultured bacterium. RNAcentral's name for it is "partial 16S ribosomal RNA". It matches the Rfam family "Bacterial small subunit ribosomal RNA", at positions 29 to 507 of the family's 1533-position model. The record is from RNAcentral.
AUUGAACGCUGGCGGCAUGCCUUACACAUGCAAGUCGAACGGCAGCACGGGAGCAAUCCUGGUGGCGAGUGGCGCACGGGUGAGUAAUACAUCGGAACGUGCCCAAUCGUGGGGGAUAACGCAGCGAAAGCUGUGCUAAUACCGCAUACGAUCUACGGAUGAAAGCAGGUGACCGCAAGGCCUUGCGCGAGUGGAGCGGCCGAUGGCAGAUUAGGUAGUUGGUGGGGUAAAGGCUGACUAAGCAAACGAUCUGUAGCUGGACUGAGAGGACGACCAGCCACACUAGGACUGAGACACGGCCCAGAGUCCUAAGGGAGGCAGCAGUGGGGAAUGUUGGACAAUGGUCGCAAGCCUGAUCCAGCCAUGCCGCGUGCAGGAUGAAGGCCUUCGGGUUGUAAACUGCCUUUGUACGGAACGAAACGGCCUUUUCUAAUAAAGAGGGUUAAUGACGGUACCGGAAGAAUAAGCACCGGCUAACUACGUG